GGGCCCCGCCGGAAGCCCGUCCAGCGCCCAACAAAAGCGGCGCGACAAGUCUACGACUGAGCCGAACGCUUCUGGGCGCCGCGCGCCAGGGGGAAACGUUCGCGGCGGAACGUUCAGGAGAAAACGCUCCAGCAACUCCCAGCCGACCCCGCCCCUCCCCGACCUACCAUAGACGCCGUCCUCCAUGGCGGCUAGGAAGGCCCGCGGGGAAUCCGGGGCGGUCCCGCCAGUCGGGCCUGGAUCCGCGUUGGCCCGCGGGCUCGGAUGGGGAAACUGACAUGAAGAGGAGUCCAAAGUGACACAGUCAGGCCAGAAAUGUUGCUUCUGAAGUCCUGAGUCCACCUCCUAGCACUGCCAAGCAGUCCACCUGGAGGUGAUGAGAACUUCCAGGCUUUGGUAAUGGACAACUCUGUAUCCCUGGAGCCUUCAUUCCUUUUGGCAUUACAGAACCACAAGAAGUCAUCUAGAAUCAUUGAGAUUCUCAACUCCAUUGGGCAAACUGGAACCAGCAAAAUCUCAGAUAUCUAGAAUUGCCACUGCUUCCUUGACUCUGUGAUCAGUCUACAGCCACAGAAUCCUGAUUCCCUUUGGACAUUCUAGAAUGGCACUUUAAAAAAAAACAACCCACCCA
Molecule: long non-coding RNA, 631 nt
Filed under: Homo sapiens (human)
Lineage: Eukaryota; Metazoa; Chordata; Mammalia; Primates; Hominidae
Description: novel transcript, antisense to KCNJ14
Source: RNAcentral